RNAcentral lists this ribosomal RNA (503 nucleotides) under uncultured bacterium. RNAcentral describes it as "bacterial SSU rRNA". It matches the Rfam family "Bacterial small subunit ribosomal RNA", at positions 28 to 529 of the family's 1533-position model. The record is from RNAcentral.
GAUGAACGCUGGCGGCGUGCUUAACACAUGCAAGUCGAGCGAAGCAUUACACUUUGAUUUCUUCGGAUUGAAGAGGGUAAUGACUGAGCGGCGGACGGGUGAGUAACGCGUGGGUAACCUGCCUCAUACAGGGGGAUAACAGUCAGAAAUGACUGCUAAUACCGCAUAAGACCGCAGUACCGCAUGGUACAGUGGUAAAAACUCCGGUGGUAUGAGAUGGACCCGCGUCUGAUUAGCUAGUUGGUAAGGUAACGGCUUACCAAGGCGACAAUCAGUAGCCGGCCUGAGAGGGCGACCGGCCACAUUGGGACUGAGACACGGCCCAAACUCCUACGGGAGGCAGCAGUGGGGAAUAUUGCACAAUGGGGGAAACCCUGAUGCAGCGACGCCGCGUGAAGGAUGAAGUAUUUCGGUAUGUAAACUUCUAUCAGCAGGGAAGAAAAUGACGGUACCUGACUAAGAAGCCCCGGCUAACUACGUGCCAGCAGCCGCGGUAAUACGUA